Molecule: ribosomal RNA, 460 nt
Filed under: uncultured bacterium
Lineage: Bacteria
Description: partial 16S ribosomal RNA
Rfam family: Bacterial small subunit ribosomal RNA
Source: RNAcentral
CCUACGGGAGGCAGCAGUGAGGAAUAUUGGUCAAUGGCCGGAAGGCUGAACCAGCCAUGCCGCGUGAAGGUCAGUGCCCUAUGGGCGUUAAACUUCUUUUGUGCGGGAGCAAUAAUGGUCACGUGUGGCCAGACGAGAGUACCGUACGAAUAAGCAUCGGCUAACUCCGUGCCAGCAGCCGCGGUAAUACGGGGGAUGCAAGCGUUAUCCGGAUUUAUUGGGUUUAAAGGGUGCGUAGGCUGUGAGGUAAGUCAGCGGUGAAAUGCCCCCGCUCAACGGGGUGAAGUGCCAUUGAUACUGCCUUGCUGGAAUGCGGAUGCGGUGGGAGGAAUGUGUGGUGUAGCGGUGAAAUGCAUAGAUAUCACACAGAACACCGAUUGCGAAGGCAGCUCACGAAUCCGCGAUUGACGCUGAUGCACGAAAGCGUGGGUAUCAAACAGGAUUAGAUACCCCUGUAGUC